AACGAACGCUGGCGGCAGGCUUAACACAUGCAAGUCGAACGCACCUUUCGGGGUGAGUGGCAGACGGGUGAGUAACGCGUGGGAAUCUACCCUUCUCUACGGGAUAGCUCCGGGAAACUGGAAUUAAUACCGUAUACGUCCUGAGGGAGAAAGAUUUAUCGGGGAAGGAUGAGCCCGCGUUGGAUUAGCUAGUUGGUGGGGUAAAGGCCUACCAAGGCGACGAUCCAUAGCUGGUCGAAGAGGAUGAUCAGCCACAUUGGGACAGAGACACGGCCCAAACUCGUACGGGAGGAGGCAGUGAGGAUUAUUAGACAAUGGGCGCAAGCCUGAUCCAGCCAUGCCGCGUGAGUGAUGAAGGCCCUAUGGUUGUAAAGCUCUUUCAGUGCGGACGAUAAUGACGGUACCCACAGAAGAAGCCCCGGCUAACUUCGUG
Molecule: ribosomal RNA, 433 nt
Filed under: uncultured bacterium
Lineage: Bacteria
Description: partial 16S ribosomal RNA
Rfam family: Bacterial small subunit ribosomal RNA
Source: RNAcentral